Molecule: long non-coding RNA, 1084 nt
Filed under: Homo sapiens (human)
Lineage: Eukaryota; Metazoa; Chordata; Mammalia; Primates; Hominidae
Description: non-protein coding lnc-BBS12-3:1
Source: RNAcentral
UUUUCCUCCUCCAGAGACUUCGGUGAAGGAUGAUGCAAACUGUGUUUCUUCAGCAUGUGAGCACCAUCAGCCAUGAGUGUGGCAGCUCCAGAAUGUCUAUACCAGAGUGGCUGAGAGUCAGCAACUUGGCUGGAAGCUACACUUGAAUAGCAAACAAACCACUUUUACUUAGUUUCCAUGUCUAUUUGGUACCUUGGAGUACAGUGAUGAGUUUUACUAGAUGUGGACUUUCCAGGAAUAUAGCCAAGGUCGUCACCAUGAAAGUAUGAAACUUUAGUCAUUUACCCAAGGGGAUUCAUGGACAUAUAUUAAGAAUUUUCUUUAAUGGACUGUGUUUAUAGAACACCUGGUCAGGACGGAAAUGAGGCCAGGGAACUAAAGGGGUAGAAGUCUGAAGAGGAAUGGUUUUGCAUGGGAAAACUGUGCCAGGUCUAAAACUGGGCUGAACACUAUUUGUCCCCAACUCUCUGGCCCGGUCCUCAUAGUUCUUUCUGUGAUCCCUGCGUGGUGAAUACUCCUUUUCUGCUUUCACUGGCUUUGGCCCCUCAUGGAUAGAAUUAGAUGUUCUGCAUGGCAAACUGUGGGAAGAGAGGCCUCCAGUGUUUAGAGUGAUAUUAUCAUGUGUACCACUACUAUUAUACAUACUAAAGGUAUUCAGACAGGUGGCUUGUCUCUGGGCUUUAUAUAGAUCUCUGUCAAGCUAGAAGAAAAAUGUCACUAAAAUAAUUCAAGACAAUUUUUGUACUUUCCAACGAUGUUCAGGUAACAGCUGAAAAUAUUCUCACUUAUUUGACUUGAGGAAGAAAAUUCGAACGAGGAAAAUCAUCAAGGAUUUGCUAAAGUCCCUUCUGUAAAAUCUUCCUUAAGGAAGUUUAAACACUCCUAUUCUCUCUUCUCUCAUUCUUUUGAACUCACUGCAUGUAUUGAUAUCACUGACUUGGUUUGUUUUCUAGAAUAUAUGUAAAAGUAAGAGUGUGUAUAUAUAACCCAUUAUGUACAUAACAAGAACAGUUCCUUCCAAUAUUCAAAUUUCAUGACUCUAGAUCACUACUGUGCAUUCUAAGAAGGUCAGGGACUCAUGGAG